GACAGAGAUGGCAAGCGUUGUUCGGAUUUAUUGGGUGUAAAGGGUUCGUAGGCGGCUCGUUAAGUUACAUGUGAAAUCCUGCAGCUCAACUGCAGAACUGCAUGUGAUACUGGCGGGCUAGAGUCUUUAAGAGGAAGAUGGAAUUCUCGGUGUAAGGGUGAAAUCUGCAGAUAUCGAGAGGAACACCAAUGGCGAAGGCAAUCUUCUGGGAAAUGACUGACGCUGAGGAACGAAAGCCAGGGUAGCAAACGGG
RNAcentral lists this ribosomal RNA (253 nucleotides) under uncultured bacterium. RNAcentral describes it as "partial 16S ribosomal RNA". It matches the Rfam family "Bacterial small subunit ribosomal RNA", at positions 524 to 776 of the family's 1533-position model. The record is from RNAcentral.